Olea europaea var. sylvestris is the source of this 144-nucleotide long non-coding RNA. RefSeq lists it as uncharacterized. The transcript has 2 exons. The record is from RefSeq and is a predicted model, not a curated record. NCBI's taxonomy places the organism in Eukaryota, Viridiplantae, Streptophyta, Magnoliopsida, Lamiales, Oleaceae.
UUCUCUAUUUCACCAAUAGUACAGAUCCUUGAUUCUUAUUCUAGAGCCCGCGCAACUCAAGAAACAGAAAUGGAAUGCUCAUUUGAUUAUGUGAUUCCCACUGAACAUAGAAUUAAAGGCAGGCCUUCGCAGAAGUCUUCCCUU